GGCCUCAUGGCCCAAUGGCAAGACGCUUGACUACGACUUCAAAUUCGAAAGCAAGAGAUUGCAGGUUCGAUCCCUACUGUGGUCA
Molecule: non-coding RNA, 85 nt
Organism: Wilcoxina mikolae CBS 423.85
Lineage: Eukaryota; Fungi; Ascomycota; Pezizomycetes; Pezizales; Pyronemataceae
Source: the annotation of a GenBank genome assembly